Gadus macrocephalus (Pacific cod) is the source of this 1744-nucleotide long non-coding RNA. RefSeq lists it as uncharacterized. The record is from RefSeq and is a predicted model, not a curated record. NCBI's taxonomy places the organism in Eukaryota, Metazoa, Chordata, Actinopteri, Gadiformes, Gadidae. The transcript has 2 exons.
UUAGUGGUGGGCCGUUAUCGGCGUUAACGGCUGCGUUAACGCAAAACUUUUAUCGCGCGAUAAAAAAAUAUCACCUAUUUUCAAACACUUCCUUGUUCAGACUCAUCACGUGACUGAACUAACCAAUCAGAAGCUAGAAUUCAGACUGAGGUCAACGUGAGGGAAUCGGAGAGGCAGAUUCAACAGAAUAUCCUGACUGUGUUAAAUAUAUAAACAUGUAAAUAUGUAAGUAAUAAUUGUGUAACAUAAAUAUGUAAAUGAUUAACUGACUAAACCUUGUAAGUACAUUUCUAGCUAAUUAACUCCAAUAUAAAUUAUAUUACUUUAUUCUACAAUUUUCAAAUAUUUAACUUCUAAACUUUACAUUAUUAUGGAUUAUUACACGGCUCUUCUCAAUGCUGUAGCAUCUCCAUUCACUUGCAUGGGCCUUCCCGACGUUCAGCUGUCAAUUAUUUUUAUUUAUGCUCGGUACACUUGCAUGGGCACUUCACAACUUCCGGCGGUGAAUUAUAUUUGAAGAUUCACCGUUGCCAAGUAUAAUUGACAGCUGUCAAGGUACACGAAAGGAUUUUUUGCCGUUUGCCAUUUUAAUCUAGAUUAAUUCCAAAAUUACUCUAGAUUACAAAAAAAUUAUCUAUGCCCACCACUAAUUUAAUGAAAGUAUUUUUAAACAGUAAACAUUGGUCACUUGUCAGCUUCAUCAGCUUGUUCCAUUUCCAAAAAAAUAAUAUAUGUUCAUCUUUCAAGCAUGAAUAACGACACCAAGUCCCUCUGUCAUGACUUUGUAAGAUCAAACUUCUUGUAAAACUUCUGACCCUUGGUAUUAUGUUUAUUUAAAAUAAAAUAAAAUAAGUAACUUAUUAAAAUAAAUAAAUAAAUACAUAAGACACUAAGUCCCCUCUGCCGCUCACGCCCCCCCUGACACCUUUAAUCAGCUGAGGGCGUUUGCCUGAGUCUAGAGAAACAUGUGGUACUUGUUGAUUAGCUCACGUUGUUAUGGCAAUGAAUACGCCCUCAGCUGAUAAACUAAUGCCAGCAUUUUUUUUCAACAGAAAAUUAGCACCCAUAUCAACAUAUAUUUGAUAUUUUUCUGCUACUUGUACCUAUUCAUGCUUAUCAUGCUACGCAGCAUUACAAGGCUCUGCCGACUAAAACAUGAAGCAAUUCAAGAAGAAGCAUAUAUAGAAUCGUCCUGUGGUCAACUGUCAUUUAAUAGACAUCUGACAGAUUAUGUUAAGGUUUUAAAAUUAUAGUAUUAUUAUUACCAGGUCAUGUUAUAACACAGCUGGAAAUCGUGGAUUUUCUGAUAAAGACUAGCUAAACUCUUUGACAGACAAAACAGCAGAAACUAUGUUAGGUGCGCUCGUGCUGCAUUUUUGGUUUUGUCAAACAGGAGACGCCCACCCACCAAUCCGAGGUUAGAGAUUCCUGAAGGAAGGUUGCGCUCGAUUUCACUAGCCCAAUUGAGCCGGUUCAUUAGUGUACAGCAUCCAUCCUCUCAUUGCUUGUGUAAAAAAAACGGCAGAAUAUUAGAUUUGAGGACGAAACGAUAGGGUGGGCUAAGGCAAGUUUUUUUUCAAAAAGGUCUAGCUUCGCCACUGAUGGCAACGCUAUUGAAAUUGUUCCUAAAUAAAAAAUCUUAAAAGAUAAGAGAUAUAUUUUUCAAAAAUUAAAGGUUGUAGUAGGACCAUGAAGAGGCCAUGCCUCUAUGGAACAAGUUUUGGGGCUCUAGAGUCAAUAACGG